Molecule: ribosomal RNA, 26 nt
Filed under: Phaseolus augusti
Lineage: Eukaryota; Viridiplantae; Streptophyta; Magnoliopsida; Fabales; Fabaceae
Also listed under: 2 other names
Description: partial large subunit ribosomal RNA
Source: RNAcentral
CGAGACCUCAGGUCAGGCGGGGCUAC